RNAcentral lists this ribosomal RNA (475 nucleotides) under Bacillus tropicus. RNAcentral's name for it is "bacterial SSU rRNA". It matches the Rfam family "Bacterial small subunit ribosomal RNA", at positions 54 to 510 of the family's 1533-position model. Lineage: Bacteria; Bacillati; Bacillota; Bacilli; Caryophanales; Bacillaceae. The record is from RNAcentral.
CAUGCAGUCGAGCGAAUGGAUUAAGAGCUUGCUCUUAUGAAGUUAGCGGCGGACGGGUGAGUAACACGUGGGUAACCUGCCCAUAAGACUGGGAUAACUCCGGGAAACCGGGGCUAAUACCGGAUAACAUUUUGAACCGCAUGGUUCGAAAUUGAAAGGCGGCUUCGGCUGUCACUUAUGGAUGGACCCGCGUCGCAUUAGCUAGUUGGUGAGGUAACGGCUCACCAAGGCAACGAUGCGUAGCCGACCUGAGAGGGUGAUCGGCCACACUGGGACUGAGACACGGCCCAGACUCCUACGGGAGGCAGCAGUAGGGAAUCUUCCGCAAUGGACGAAAGUCUGACGGAGCAACGCCGCGUGAGUGAUGAAGGCUUUCGGGUCGUAAAACUCUGUUGUUAGGGAAGAACAAGUGCUAGUUGAAUAAGCUGGCACCUUGACGGUACCUAACCAGAAAGCCACGGCUAACUACGUGCCA